Long non-coding RNA from Phalaenopsis equestris, 789 nucleotides. RefSeq lists it as uncharacterized. The transcript has 3 exons. NCBI's taxonomy places the organism in Eukaryota, Viridiplantae, Streptophyta, Magnoliopsida, Asparagales, Orchidaceae. The record is from RefSeq and is a predicted model, not a curated record.
GAGUAUGUAAUUUAAUGGAUAGCGAAAUGAAAAGAAGAAAUUGAAGAUAGGCGUUUGGGGCGCCUGUUUCUCUUCUUCACGAACCGCGAUCUGCUCACCUCGUCUCCUCUUUUCCCGAUGGCUCCCUCCUCUUCUCCAAUGCAUCUCACGCAACAAAGCUGCUUCCUCCUCCCUUCUCACGAGUUCCUCACGCGCACUGGUAAGAUUUUUUUUUUUUUUUUUUUUUUUUUUUUCUGUUUUCUUCAAGAAGGAACAGAGACAAUCCUUCUCUUCGCACUGGCAACUCCUAAUCCAUGCGCCAUUAAUGGAGAACAUGUGGAUGUUUCAUUUGGUAACCUUUGCAUCCCGUGUAUUGGUGGUGGAAAAAAUGAUGGGUGCUUCAGCUUUCAUAUUGAACAAAGGUAGGUAGGAUGGAAAACGCUGCAACAAUGUGAUACCUGAAGCGAGAGAAGCCGAGAGUGAGAGAGGCCGAGACCGUGAAAGGGCAGUGAACGACAAAGCUCUUCGUCUUCUUCUUCUUCUUCUUCUUCUUCAAUCAGAUGAUGAGGUGUUCAAGGAAUAUAUCAACAGAGGACUGUGACUGCUUUGGCUGGGUAGACCAAUUCGAUGAUUCUACCUCAGAUAGUGAUCAGAUAUUGAGAGCAUCUUUAGAGAAGUUAAUCUAUAGCAUUAAUUAUCUGCACUUCAAAAUUAAUAUUUUGAUAAUAUUAAUUAUUUUUUUAAUAUUGUUAAUUUUUUAUUUUGAUUGUUGUGUUACUGUUAAGUGAGAUGUUGCUUCUAAAUGUAACA